GACGAACGCUGGCGGCGCGCCUAACACAUGCAAGUCGAACGAAGCUCUUCGGAGCUUAGUGGCGGACGGGUGAGUAACACGUGAGCAACCUGCCUCAUAGAGGGGGAUAACGUUUGGAAACGAACGCUAAUACCGCAUAACACCUUUGGAGGACAUCCCUCGGAGGUCAAAGGAGCAAUCCGCUAUGAGAUGGGCUCGCGUCCGAUUAGAUAGUUGGCGGGGUAACGGCCCACCAAGUCGACGAUCGGUAGCCGGACUGAGAGGUUGAUCGGCCACAUUGGGACUGAGACACGGCCCAG
RNAcentral lists this ribosomal RNA (299 nucleotides) under uncultured bacterium. Its description in RNAcentral is "partial 16S ribosomal RNA". It matches the Rfam family "Bacterial small subunit ribosomal RNA", at positions 28 to 334 of the family's 1533-position model. The record is from RNAcentral.